GUAGGUGAACCUGCGGAAGGAUCAUUAUUGAUUUGAAACAAACAAUAAACACAAAAACUUUCGGGUUAUUGUGUGAAAAUACGUGCCGUUUGGUGCGUAAUACCGCACAUAGUUAUGUGCAAAGAAAUGGAAGAAAUGGAAGCACUUUGAUAGAGUAUAUUUUGGGUACUUACUUAAUUUGAGUAUAAACGACAAAUCCGUCGUGACAUUCGCCCAAAACUAAAAUAUUAAAUCAUUGUGUUUAAAACCCUCUGUCGUAGCCGGUAUACUGUAAUGGGAUAUUGGUUUACGCUUUAUGUGUAACAAAAUAAAUUUGUAACAAAAUUUAUAUUUAACCCUAAGCGGGGGAUCACUUGGCUUGU
This 362-nucleotide unclassified non-coding RNA is filed under the name rhizosphere metagenome. RNAcentral describes it as "partial ribosomal RNA internal transcribed spacer region". The record is from RNAcentral.